This 468-nucleotide ribosomal RNA is filed under the name uncultured bacterium. Its description in RNAcentral is "partial 16S ribosomal RNA". It matches the Rfam family "Bacterial small subunit ribosomal RNA", at positions 28 to 507 of the family's 1533-position model. The record is from RNAcentral.
GACGAACGCUGGCGGCGUGCUUAACACAUGCAAGUCGAACGGAAAGGCCCUGCUUUUGUGGGGUGCUCGAGUGGCGAACGGGUGAGUAACACGUGAGUAACCUGCCCUUGACUUUGGGAUAACUUCAGGAAACUGGGGCUAAUACCGGAUAGGAGCUCCUGCUGCAUGGUGGGGGUUGGAAAGUUUCGGCGGUUGGGGAUGGACUCGCGGCUUAUCAGCUUGUUGGUGGGGUAGUGGCUUACCAAGGCUUUGGCCGGUAGCCGGCCUGAGGGGGUGACCGGACACAUUGGUACUGAGAUACGGACCAGACUCCUACGGGAGGCAGCAGUGGGGAAUAUUGCACAAUGGGCGGAAGCCUGAUGCAGCAACGCCGCUUGCGGGAUGACGGCCUUCGAGGUGUAAACCGCUUUCGCCUGUGACGAAGCGUGAGUGACGGUAAUGGGUAAAGAAGCACCGGCUAACUACGUG